Molecule: ribosomal RNA, 389 nt
Filed under: Stramenopiles sp. MAST-1C
Lineage: Eukaryota
Description: partial small subunit ribosomal RNA
Rfam family: Eukaryotic small subunit ribosomal RNA
Source: RNAcentral
AUUCCAGCUCCAAUAGCGUAUAUUAAUGUUGUUGCAGUUAAAAAGCUCGUAGUUGGAUUUCUGGUGGGAGCGGCCGGUCCGCCGUAAGGUGUGUACUUGGUUGUCUCCUGUCAUCCUUGUGGGAACUGCUCUGGCAUUAAGUUGUCGGGGUUAGGGAACACAUCGUUUACUGUGAAAAAAUUAGAGUGUUUAAAGCAGGCUUAUGCCGUUGAAUACAUUAGCAUGGAAUAAUAAGAUAGGACUUUGGCGUCUAUUUUGUUGGUUUGCACACCAAGGUAAUGAUUAAUAGGGAUAGUUGGGGGUAUUCGUAUUCAAUUGUCAGAGGUGAAAUUCUUGGAUUUAUGAAAGACGAACUUCUGCGAAAGCAUUUACCAAAGAUGUUUUCAUUG